UAGCUCAGUUGGUAGUAGCGCAUGACUGUUAAUCAUGAUGUCGUAGGUUCGAGUCCUA
This 58-nucleotide transfer RNA is filed under the name Enterococcus faecium. RNAcentral describes it as "tRNA-Asn". It matches the Rfam family "tRNA", at positions 8 to 62 of the family's 71-position model. From Rfam's summary of the family: Transfer RNA (tRNA) molecules are approximately 80 nucleotides in length. Their secondary structure includes four short double-helical elements and three loops (D, anti-codon, and T loops). The record is from RNAcentral. Lineage: Bacteria; Bacillati; Bacillota; Bacilli; Lactobacillales; Enterococcaceae.